GACGAACGCUGGCGGCGUGCCUGACACAUGCAAGUCGGACGGUUCUUGUACCUUCAAGCUUGCUUGUUGGUGCAAGGAUAGUGGCGGACGGGUGAGUAACGCGUGAACAUCUACCCAUUGGAGGGGGACAACCCGUCGAAAGGCGGGCUAAUACCGCGUAAGCCGCGAGGUGAGAGGCUGCCUAUUGGUGGCCGCCGAUGGAUGGGGUUCGCGUCCUAUCAGCUGGUUGGUGGGGUAACGGCCUACCAAGGCGAAGACGGGUAGCCGGUCUGAGAGGAUGGCCGGCCACACUGGAACUGAGACACGGUCCAGACUCCUACGGGAGGCAGCAGUGGGGAAUCUUGCGCAAUGGGGGAAACCCUGACGCAGCAACGCCGCGUGAGUGAGGAAGGCCUUCGGGUCGUAAAGCUCUGUCAGAUAGGGAGAAUAGGAUGGGGCGUAAUAUCGCCCAUCCUUGACGGUACCAUCAGAGGAAGCACCGGCUAACUCCGUGCCACGCAGCCGAC
This 506-nucleotide ribosomal RNA is filed under the name uncultured bacterium. Its description in RNAcentral is "bacterial SSU rRNA". It matches the Rfam family "Bacterial small subunit ribosomal RNA", at positions 28 to 519 of the family's 1533-position model. The record is from RNAcentral.